This 498-nucleotide ribosomal RNA is filed under the name Morganella morganii. RNAcentral describes it as "bacterial SSU rRNA". It matches the Rfam family "Bacterial small subunit ribosomal RNA", at positions 38 to 519 of the family's 1533-position model. The record is from RNAcentral. Lineage: Bacteria; Pseudomonadati; Pseudomonadota; Gammaproteobacteria; Enterobacterales; Morganellaceae.
GGCGUCGGGGCGGCAGCUAACACAUGCAAGUCGGGCGGUAACAGGGAGAAGCUUGCUUCUCUGCUGACGAGCGGCGGACGGGUGAGUAAUGUAUGGGGAUCUGCCUGAUGGAGGGGGAUAACUACUGGAAACGGUAGCUAAUACCGCAUAAUGUCUCCGGACCAAAGCGGGGGACCUUCGGGCCUCGCACCAUCAGAUGAACCCAUAUGGGAUUAGCUAGUAGGUGGGGUAACGGCUUACCUAGGCGACGAUCCCUAGCUGGUCUGAGAGGAUGAUCAGCCACACUGGGACUGAGACACGGCCCAGACUCCUACGGGAGGCAGCAGUGGGGAAUAUUGCACAAUGGGCGCAAGCCUGAUGCAGCCAUGCCGCGUGUAUGAAGAAGGCCUUCGGGUUGUAAAGUACUUUCAGUCGGGAGGAAGGUGUUAAGGUUAAUAACCUUGACAAUUGACGUUACCGACAGAAGAAGCACCGGCUAACUCUGUGCCAGCAGCCGCU